Molecule: transfer RNA, 75 nt
Filed under: Candidatus Fischerbacteria bacterium RBG_13_37_8
Lineage: Bacteria; Candidatus Fischeribacteriota
Description: tRNA-Thr
Rfam family: tRNA
About the family: Transfer RNA (tRNA) molecules are approximately 80 nucleotides in length. Their secondary structure includes four short double-helical elements and three loops (D, anti-codon, and T loops). Further hydrogen bonds mediate the characteristic L-shaped molecular structure. tRNAs have two regions of fundamental functional importance: the anti-codon, which is responsible for specific mRNA codon recognition, and the 3' end, to which the tRNAs corresponding amino acid is attached (by aminoacyl-tRNA synthetases). tRNAs cope with the degeneracy of the genetic code in two manners: having more than one tRNA (with a specific anti-codon) for a particular amino acid; and 'wobble' base-pairing, i.e. permitting non-standard base-pairing at the 3rd anti-codon position.
Source: RNAcentral
GCCGGCGUAGCUCAGUGGCAGAGCAGCUGAUUCGUAAUCAGCAGGUCAUGGGUUCAAGUCCCAUUGCCGGCUCCA